CGGUGGCAACGCUUCAACUACAGUACUGUUAUUCCGAUUCUAAUGCAUUUCAAAAAGAAAUAAUACGAUAAAACUUGGAAAAAUGUCUAAAUUUGACAAAUAAAAACAAAUCCGCGAAACUUCAUGAAUGAUUUUGGCCCAAAGAUGUCAUGGGUACACGUGACGUCAUACAAAUAAAAACUUACAAACUGGAGGUUAUUACGUUACCUGUACACUUCAAAUUCGGAUAAAAUAACUUUAAAACGGCGAAUUCGAGGUAGGAGUUGUUUUAUUUUGGAUGAUAUAGUAGUAAUCGAACAUUUGUUGAUUCAAUCAUUUCAAAAUGGUUGUCCCUCCUUAGUUACGCCUGGUCAACUGUGGAUUUGACGGUAACUUUUAGCCAAUGAAAAAAAUUGUUGCAUACAAAUUGCAUUAGAAUUAAUAUUAUGUGUUUUCUUGUGUUGAUUUAUAUGUAUUGAUCGCUGCUGUUUAUCGUUUGUCAUGUUGUAAAUAUGUUUAAUAUGAUUAAAUAACCGUAUAAGCGCGUAUGUACCUGUUCAGCGCUCGACUGAUACCCUGUUACAUAUUCGUUACUUAUUCUCUUAACGAUACGUAUGUAAUACGUUUAACCUUUUUAAAAAUUAUUUUCAUUUUUCUUUUGUCUCUGGUUAUAGCAAUGGGUUCUUAGAGGUGAAAUAAUCCUACUAGCUUGUAUGUACACGCUCAGAGUUCGACUGAUACCCUGUUACUUAUUCGCUUGAUACACGUAUAUUUUCUUUAUUUUUUCUUGUUUCUGGUGUAAAGGUUCUUACAGGUAAAAUAAUUAUAUCAACGCUUAUGUACCCGUUUAAGCCUUCAACUGACACCCUGUUUCUUAUUCGUUCCCUAUUCGCUCGAAACACGUUUGUUAUGCAUUGUACCUUUAAAAAAAAUCUUUUAAUUUCUUCUUGUCUUUGGUGCUAGCUUUGGAAUCAUGGAGGUGAAAUAACCUUAUCAGCGCGUAUGUACCCGUUGAAGCGCUCAACUGAUACCCUGUUACACAUUCGUUCCUUAAAACAUACUCCAUGUUUUUCCACAAAUGCUUUUGCAGUUGAUUAUCGUUAAAAGUGUGAGAAGA
Molecule: long non-coding RNA, 1096 nt
Filed under: Mytilus galloprovincialis (Mediterranean mussel)
Lineage: Eukaryota; Metazoa; Mollusca; Bivalvia; Mytilida; Mytilidae
Source: RNAcentral